RNAcentral lists this ribosomal RNA (618 nucleotides) under bacterium Ba211. RNAcentral describes it as "bacterial SSU rRNA". It matches the Rfam family "Bacterial small subunit ribosomal RNA", at positions 71 to 703 of the family's 1533-position model. The record is from RNAcentral.
CAUCAGGCUUUGCUUGGUGGUGAGAGUGGCGAACGGGUGAGUAAUGCGUGACCGACCUGCCCCAUACACCGGAAUAGCUCCUGGAAACGGGUGGUAAUGCCGGAUGCUCCAGUUGAUCGCAUGGUCUUCUGGGAAAGCUUUCGCGGUAUGGGAUGGGGUCGCGUCCUAUCAGCUUGACGGCGGGGUAACGGCCCACCGUGGCUUCGACGGGUAGCCGGCCUGAGAGGGCGACCGGCCACAUUGGGACUGAGAUACGGCCCAGACUCCUACGGGAGGCAGCAGUGGGGAAUAUUGCACAAUGGGCGCAAGCCUGAUGCAGCGACGCCGCGUGAGGGAUGGAGGCCUUCGGGUUGUAAACCUCUUUUAUCGGGGAGCAAGCGAGAGUGAGUUUACCCGUUGAAUAAGCACCGGCUAACUACGUGCCAGCAGCCGCGGUAAUACGUAGGGUGCAAGCGUUAUCCGGAAUUAUUGGGCGUAAAGGGCUCGUAGGCGGUUCGUCGCGUCCGGUGUGAAAGUCCAUCGCUUAACGGUGGAUCCGCGCCGGGUACGGGCGGGCUUGAGUGCGGUAGGGGAGACUGGAAUUCCCGGUGUAACGGUGGAAUGUGUANAUAUCGGGAA